RNAcentral lists this ribosomal RNA (461 nucleotides) under uncultured bacterium. Its description in RNAcentral is "partial 16S ribosomal RNA". It matches the Rfam family "Bacterial small subunit ribosomal RNA", at positions 338 to 795 of the family's 1533-position model. The record is from RNAcentral.
CCUACGGGAGGCAGCAGUGAGGAAUAUUGGUCAAUGGACGCAAGUCUGAACCAGCCAAGUAGCGUGCAGGAUGACGGCCCUCCGGGUUGUAAACUGCUUUUAGUUGGGAAUAAAAGGGGGCUCGUGAGCCCCGUCUUGUAUGUACCAUCAGAAAAAGGACCGGCUAAUUCCGUGCCAGCAGCCGCGGUACUACGGAAGGUCCGGGCGUUAUCCGGUUUUAUUGGGGUUAAAGGGUGCGUAGGCGGAAUGCCAAGUCAGCGGUAAAAUCGCGGGGCUCAACCUCGCUCCGCCGUUGAAACUGGCGUUCUUGAGUGGGCGAGGAGUAUGCGGAAUGCGUGGUGUAGCGGUGAAAUGCAUAGAUAUCACGCAGAACUCCGAUUGCGAAGGCAGCAUACCGGAGCCCAACUGACGCUGAAGCACGAAAGCGUGGGUAUCGAACAGGAUUAGAUACCCUAGUAGUC